Molecule: transfer RNA, 71 nt
Filed under: Dipodomys ordii (Ord's kangaroo rat)
Lineage: Eukaryota; Metazoa; Chordata; Mammalia; Rodentia; Heteromyidae
Rfam family: tRNA
About the family: Transfer RNA (tRNA) molecules are approximately 80 nucleotides in length. Their secondary structure includes four short double-helical elements and three loops (D, anti-codon, and T loops).
Source: Rfam by way of RNAcentral
GCUGUUGUAGCUCAGUAGUAGAGUACUUGUCUAGCAUGCAUGAGGACUUGGGUUUGAUCCCCAGCACUGCA